ACGAACGCUGGCGGCGUGCUUAACACAUGCAAGUCGAACGAGAAUCUACUGAAAGAGUUUUCGGACGAUGGAAGUAGAGGAAAGUGGCGGACGGGUGAGUAACGCGUGAGGAACCUGCCUUGAAGAGGGGGACAACAGUUGGAAACGACUGCUAAUACCGCAUGAAGCAUAGGGGUCGCAUGAUCUUUAUGCCAAAGAUUUAUCGCUUCAAGAUGGCCUCGCGUCUGAUUAGCUAGUUGGCGGGGUAACGGCCCACCAAGGCGACGAUCAGUAGCCGGACUGAGAGGUUGAACGGCCACAUUGGGACUGAGAUACGGCCCAGACUCCUACGGGAGGCAGCAGUGGGGAAUAUUGGGCAAUGGGCGCAAGCCUGACCCAGCAACGCCGCGUGAAGGAAGAAGGCUUUCGGGUUGUAAACUUCUUUUAAGAGGGAAGAGCAGAAGACGGUACCUCUAGAAUAAGCCACGGCUAACUACGUGCCAGCAGCCGCGGUAAUACGUAGGUGGCAAGCGUUGUCCGGAUUUACUGGGUGUAAAGGGCGUGCAGCCGGGUCUGCAAGUCAGAUGUGAAAUCCAUGGGCUCAACCCAUGAACUGCAUUUGAAACUGUAGAUCUUGAGUGUCGGAGGGGCAAUCGGAAUUCCUAGUGUAGCGGUGAAAUGCGUAGAUAUUAGGAGGAACACCAGUGGCGAAGGCGGAUUGCUGGACGAUAACUGACGGUGAGGCGCGAAAGUGUGGGGAGCAAACAGGAUUAGAUACCCUGGUAGUCCACACUGUAAACGAUGAAUACUAGGUGUGCGGGGACUGACCCCCUGCGUGCCGCAGUAAACACAAUAAGUAUUCCACCUGGGGAGUACGAUCGC
Molecule: ribosomal RNA, 861 nt
Filed under: uncultured bacterium
Lineage: Bacteria
Description: bacterial SSU rRNA
Rfam family: Bacterial small subunit ribosomal RNA
Source: RNAcentral